GAUGAACGCUGGCGGUAUGCUUAACACAUGCAAGUCGAACGGACUCUUCGGAGUUAGUGGCGGACGGGUGAGUAACGCGUGGGAAUCUGGCUUUGGGUUCGGGACAACCACUGGAAACGGUGGCUAAUGCCGGAUGUGCCGCGAGGUAACAGAGAACGUGCCUGAAGAUGAGCCCGCGGCUGAUUAGCGAGUUGGGGAGGGAAAGGCCCACCAAGGCAGCGAUCAGUAGCUGGGCUGAGAGGAUGACCAGCCACACCGGGACAGAGACACGGCACAGACGCCUACGGGAGGAAGCAGGGGGGAAUGAUCCGGCAAGGGCGAAAGCCUGACGGAGGAAUUCCGCUUGAGGAAAGAAGGCGUUUGGGAUGUAAACCUCUUGGCUUAGGGAAGAACAAAAUGACGGUACCUAAGGAAUCAGCAUCGGCUAACUCCGUG
Molecule: ribosomal RNA, 435 nt
Filed under: uncultured bacterium
Lineage: Bacteria
Description: partial 16S ribosomal RNA
Rfam family: Bacterial small subunit ribosomal RNA
Source: RNAcentral